This 836-nucleotide ribosomal RNA is filed under the name uncultured microorganism. RNAcentral describes it as "bacterial SSU rRNA". It matches the Rfam family "Bacterial small subunit ribosomal RNA", at positions 28 to 896 of the family's 1533-position model. The record is from RNAcentral.
GAUGAACGCUGGCGGCGUGCCUUAAGCAUGCAAGUCGAACGAUUUCAGUAGCAAUAUUGUUUUAGUGGCAGACGGGUGAGUAAUAUAUAGGAAUCUACCUCAAUGUGGGGGAUAGCUCGCCGAAAGGCGGGGUAAUACCGCAUGUGAUCGCAAGAUCAAAGCCCUUAACCGGGCGCGUUGAGAGGAGCCUGUAUCCUAUCAGCUAGUUGGUGAGGUAAUGGCUCACCAAGGCUACGACGGGUAGGGGGUGUGAGAGCACGACCCCCCACAAGGACACUGAGACACGGGUCCUACACCUACGGGUGGCAGCAACUGGGAAUCUUGCGCAAUGGACGAAAGUCUGACGCAGCGACGCCGCGUGUGGGAAGAAGGCCUUCGGGUCGUAAACCACUGUGGAAAGGGAAUAAAAAAAUGAAGGUACCUUUCUAGAAAGCACCUGCUAACUACGUGCCAGAAGCCUCGGUAAUACGUAGGGUGCAAGCGUUAUCCGGAUUUAUUGGGCGUAAAGCGUUCUGUAGGCGGUUUUGUAAGUAUGUGGUUAAAGGCUUCGGCUCAACCGAAGACAUGCUGUGUAAACUACAAGACUAGAUGGUUAUCGGGAGUAUCGGAAUUCUCGGUGGAGGGGUGAAAUCCGUUGAUAUCGAGAGGAACACCAAAGGCGAAGGCAGAUACUUAGGUAACUCAUGACGCUGAUAGACGACAGCUAGGGGAGCGAAAGGGAUUAGAGACCCCUGUAGUCCUAGCCGUAAACGAUGGACACUAGCUGAUCGGAUUUUUCUGGUCGGCGUAAGCUAACGCGUUAAGUGUCCCGCCUGGGAAGUACGGCCGCAAGGCUA